CCUACGGGUGACAGCAGUGGGGAAUAUUGCACAAUGGGCGAAAGCCUGAUGCAGCGACGCCGCGUGAGUGAAGAAGUAUUUCGGUUUGUAAAGCUCUAUCAGCAGAGAAGAAAAUGACGGUACGUGAUUAAGAAGCCCCGGCUAACUACGUGCCAGCAGCCGCGGUCAUACGUAGGGGGCAAGCGUUAUCCGGAUUUACUGGGUGUAAAGGGAGCGUAGACGGCAGCACAAGUCUGGAGUGAAAUGCCGGGGCUUAACCCAGGAAGUGCUUUGGAAACUGGGCAGCUAGAGUGCAGGAGAGGUAAGUGGAAUUCCUAGUGUAGCGGUGAAAUGCGUAGAUAUUAGGAGGAACACCAGUGGCGAAGGCGGCUGACUGGACUGUAACUGACGUUGAGGCUCGAAAGCGUGGGGAGCAAACAGGAUUAGAUACCCGUGUAGUC
Molecule: ribosomal RNA, 440 nt
Filed under: uncultured bacterium
Lineage: Bacteria
Description: partial 16S ribosomal RNA
Rfam family: Bacterial small subunit ribosomal RNA
Source: RNAcentral